Molecule: RNA transcript, 2871 nt
Organism: Rosa chinensis
Lineage: Eukaryota; Viridiplantae; Streptophyta; Magnoliopsida; Rosales; Rosaceae
Gene name: GTPase Der
Exons: 5
Source: RefSeq, a predicted model, not a curated record
CUCUAUCUUUUAUCUCAGAGGUUUUCAUAGGUUUCCUGUUUCUAAUAGUGCCGCCAUUUGAGAAACCCAUUGAUUUUCCAACCUUGAGAGACAUGAAGCAACCCAGAUAAGAAAACUAGCGGCGUCUAAUUCAAAGGAACCAGUGUUCAGUUUGUUUCAAUCUUCAAAGAAACCAAAGCAAGCAAGAUAGUCGUUUUGAGAGUUGAAACCCUUUUUGGAUCUUUGAUAUGUUUAGGGUAUAUCAAUGACUGCCUUAGACAGCUCCACACUCUCUCAAUUUAAGACUUGAUUCAUUUCCCUGAAUCGCUGCAGUUUUAACAAAGACUCUGGUCUACAGACAGCUCAGACAUUACUGUUUGACACAAUUCACAUCUUGGGUAUGUCUUCUUCAUGGAUUCGUUCACUUUCAGCUCAGAAGAGGAAGUUUGGUUAUGGCCUCUUUCAUAAUCCACUUAAGAGUUCCACAAACUCAAUCCCCCAGUUUUGCAUACAGAGACACAGAGACCUGACUACCAUUGGAUCCUUUUUUACCACUUCCUCGUUCAAUCGCAUUGGAAUACCGUCUUUGAGUUGGAUUCAUGGCAGGCCAAUCUCAAUCUUGCAUCCUUGCAUCCUUCAGGCUACAGCGGAACUUUGCACGCUAACUAAUGUUGAACCGUCUGAUACUGAUUCUUGCAGUGAUGCAGGUGCUCGUGUUGAGGUGUCGCGUGAUGAUUCGGAUGAUAAUGUUGCAACAAAGGAAGUUAGGGUUGAGUAUGAAAAGCCAGUAGAUUUCACCAAAGUGAAGAAGAAUCUGCUUCCGACUGUGAUUCUUGUUGGCCGCCCGAAUGUGGGCAAGUCAGCUUUGUUCAAUCGUUUGAUCCGGAGGCGGGAGGCCCUUGUGUACAACACACCAGAUGAUCAUGUUACUCGUGACUUCAGAGAUGGCAUUGCUAAAUUGGGUGAUCUGCGAUUCAGGGUAUUGGAUUCGGCUGGCUUAGAAACAGCAGCUUCUUCAGGUUCUAUUCUUGACAGAACAGCAGGGAUGACUGCAAGUAUAUUGGCAAGGUCUCAGUUUGCGGUUUUCCUUAUAGAUGUGAGAGCUGGACUGCACCCACUGGAUCUGGAGGUUGGAAGGUGGUUGCGCAAGCAUGCACCUGGAAUCAAUAUUGUAGUUGCCAUGAAUAAAUCAGAGUCACUUUUUGAUGGUAGUGGCUCUCUUGCUGCGGCUGCUGCUGAAGCUUAUAGGUUGGGAUGGGGUGACCCUAUUGCCAUUUCAGCUGAAACUGGACUCGGUAUGCAAGAUCUUUAUGGGAGUCUAAAGCCUAUGCUUGAGGAUUAUAUGCUCAGUGUCUUAAACAAUCAAGAAAACACUGAUGAGGGAAAUUUCAGUGACGACAGCUCCUGUGAGAUUGAGGAUAGUAAGCUGCCAUUACAGUUAGCAAUCGUUGGAAAACCCAAUGUUGGGAAGUCAACCUUGCUGAAUACAUUGUUACAAGAAGAACGUGUGCUGGUAGGUCCGGAGGCUGGUCUGACAAGAGAUUCAAUUAGAGCUGAGUUUGAAUUUCAAGGGAGAACUAUCUACCUGGUUGACACUGCAGGCUGGUUGCAGAGAACAAAGAUGGAGAAAGGACCAUCAUCCUUGAGCAUUGUGCAGUCAAGAAAGAGUCUCAUGAGAGCUCAUGUAGUUGCUCUGGUCCUAGAUGCCGAAGAGAUCUCAAAGGCCAGAAGAAGUAUGAAGCAUGAUGAAGUAGUUAUAGCUAGACAGGCUAUUGAAGAAGGCCGUGGUUUAGUGGUGGUUGUGAACAAGAUGGAUCUAUUAAAAGAACAAGAAAUUUGUGACAACGUUAUGGAAGCUGUGCCUCAAGAAAUUCAGACUGUUAUACCCCAGGUGACUGGAAUACCAGUAGUAUUCAUAUCAGCAUUGGAAGGAAGGGGUCAGGCAGCUGUCAUGCACCAAGUUAUUGAUACAUAUGAAAAAUGGUGUUCAAGGUUGUCCACAGCUCGUCUGAACCGUUGGUUGCGCAAGGUUAUGAGCAGGCAUUCUUGGAAAGAUCAGUCUGCUCAACCCAAGGUUAAGUACUUUACACAGGUGAAAGCACGACCACCCACUUUUGUGGCCUUUGUUAGUGGGAAGAAAGAGCUCUCAGAUACAGACAUCAGGUUCUUAAAAAGGUCUUUGAAGGAAGACUUUGAUUUGGGUGGAAUUCCGAUCAGGAUCAUGCAGAGGAACGUCCCACGGAAGGCUGCCAAUGGCAAUAGCAAGAGCGGCCAAUUUACUAAUAGAAUGCCUGAUAGGAUCUUCUCUGACAAGAGAACUGUAUCCGUGUGAACUACCAUUUCUCAGUGCUUCUUGGGGAUGUUGGAGCUAUGAUGUCUUCUCUAGGGUUUCUCUUUGUAUUAGGAUGGUUUCUUGAAUUUCAGGUAAUAUAUAAAUCCUUCUAUUGAUGUUGGUCAGUAUUUUACUGAAGUUGUGAAUGGCGACAUGCCGACAAACCUGAAGAAAAGCACUUGAGGAGAUAACACUUGGAGAAUAUGAGAGAGUUUCCGAAGAGAAGAGGAAGGUUCAGUUGGAGGCGUACAAUCAGGAAAAAGGUGGUGGUGUUUGUUCUUUUUUUUUUUUUUUGGUGGCAACUGCUUGAAGCUUUGUAUAUUUGGUCCAUGGAGCUGCAUUGUGUUUCAUCAGAUAAUUAGGUGUACCGUCUGAGAAUGCUAGUUUUUCCAUCAAUGACUAUUAUUUAUCAAUGUCCGUGAGCUUCUUGUACAUUUUGGAUACUGGUAGAACCUCCGUUAAAAUUGCAUCAAUAACAGAAUUCACUAUAAAAACUCAUGUCCUUGAUAGUAUUCAUAUUGUAAUCUCAUAAAGAAGGUGAAGUCCAUUACACUUCCGAU